CAUGAAGUAGAACAAUCCAAAUACAAUAAUAUUUAAAGGUUUUUGUAAAAUAAUUUGGCAUAUAAAUGCAUAUUUUUUGCGGAACUUGCAAGAGAAACCCUUGUACCUUUAUGACUGAAACCAGUUUAUCUUUUAUUUUGGUGGAAAUCUACAUUUUCUGUAAAAACCAUGUUUUAGUAAUGUGUCUCAUUACAAGAGAUGUGCACAUUUGUUAGGUGAAAAUGUAUUACACCGUUCGAGAAGGGAACCUUCAACCAGGACCGCUGUAAGGGGAGGCAAGAUUAGGACAAUUCCAAGGGCCCAGUGUUAGAGAGGGCACCCCGAGUGGGGAAUGAGAUUUCUACCAAAAGGGACUCUAAAAUGUUAGAACCAACAGCCUCGUGCAUAUAGUGUGGUUGUGCUUCGGGUAAUCCUUGAAAGAGUCCCAGCGCUAGGUCCUUUCUAACGCAGUCCCCUCCACUUUCUCCCACUUGUGUGCUUUCUGUACUGUCUUGUAUAAACA
This is a long non-coding RNA of Carassius carassius (crucian carp), 502 nucleotides long. RefSeq lists it as uncharacterized. The record is from RefSeq and is a predicted model, not a curated record. The transcript is spliced from 2 exons. NCBI's taxonomy places the organism in Eukaryota, Metazoa, Chordata, Actinopteri, Cypriniformes, Cyprinidae.